RNAcentral lists this ribosomal RNA (403 nucleotides) under uncultured Oscillibacter sp. RNAcentral describes it as "bacterial SSU rRNA". It matches the Rfam family "Bacterial small subunit ribosomal RNA", at positions 356 to 774 of the family's 1533-position model. The record is from RNAcentral. Lineage: Bacteria; Bacillati; Bacillota; Clostridia; Eubacteriales; Oscillospiraceae.
GGGGAAUAUUGGGCAAUGGACGCAAGUCUGACCCAGCAACGCCGCGUGAAGGAAGAAGGCUUUCGGGUUGUAAACUUCUUUUAAGGGGGAAGAGUAGAAGACGGUACCCCUUGAAUAAGCCACGGCUAACUACGUGCCAGCAGCCGCGGUAAUACGUAGGUGGCAAGCGUUGUCCGGAUUUACUGGGUGUAAAGGGCGUGUAGCCGGGAAGGCAAGUCAGAUGUGAAAUCUGGAGGCUCAACCUCCAAACUGCAUUUGAAACUGCUUUUCUUGAGUGUCGGAGAGGUAAUCGGAAUUCCUUGUGUAGCGGUGAAAUGCGUAGAUAUCAGGAGGAACACCGAUGGCGAAGGCAGGUCACUGGGCCGCAACUGACGCUGAGGAGCGAAAGCAUGGGGAGCGAACA